Molecule: ribosomal RNA, 406 nt
Filed under: uncultured bacterium
Lineage: Bacteria
Description: partial 16S ribosomal RNA
Rfam family: Bacterial small subunit ribosomal RNA
Source: RNAcentral
AUUGAACGCUGGCGGCAGGCCUAACACAUGCAAGUCGAACGAGUGGCGGACGGGUGAGUAAUGUCUGGGAAACUGCCCGAUGGAGGGGGAUAACUACUGGAAACGGUAGCUAAUACCGCAUACCAUCGGAUGUGCCCAGAUGGGAUUAGCUUGUAGGUGAGGUAACUGCUCACCUAGGCGACGAGCCCUAGCUGGUCUGAGAGGAUGACCAGCCACACUGGUACUGAGACACUGGCCCGACGCCGACGGGAGGCAGCAGGGGGGAAGAUGGCACAAGGGGCGCAAGCCUGAUGCAGCCAUGCCGCGUGUAUGAAGAAGGCCUUCGGGUUGUAAAUUACUUUCAGCGGGGAGGCGUUACCCGCAGAAGACGCACCGGCUAACGCCGGGCCAGCCGACGCGGUAAUAC